CGUAGUUGAACGUUCGGGUUCCGCGGGACGGGGGCCGCCCCCGCGAGGGACGGCGCCGCCCCGGGGGCUCGUGAUAUCUCAUCUCGCCGCCCGUCGCGAGGCGGACGGAGGGAUGGAUGAGGUUACCUGGAAAAAAUCGGGGCGAUCUAGGCGGGCGAACCUCGCCAACGAACGAUCGGACAUGGGAUAACGGAAGAAGGCGUCGGCUCGACUUCGUCGGUUCCUCGGGCCGAGGCACGUACGGUGAAUAGGGACGGUCGGGGCCGCCCGUACCGGGUCGUGAGAGGUGAAAUUCUAGGAUCGACCCGAGACGAACCGCCGCGAAAGCAUUCGGCAAGGACGCUUUCAUUAAUCAAGAACGAAAGUUAGGGGGAUCGAAGAUGAUCAGAUACCGUCGUAGUCCUAACCAUAAACAAUACCAACCAAAGAUAAGAGGUUGAAACAAGAGAUAUAAAAUUUGUUUUUUUUAUAUCAAGAAAACUCCUUUUGAAUUUUUUGAGGGGAAACCAUUGAGUAUUUGGGUUCUGGGGGGAGUACGGUUCGCAAG
RNAcentral lists this ribosomal RNA (547 nucleotides) under uncultured eukaryote. RNAcentral's name for it is "partial 18S ribosomal RNA". It matches the Rfam family "Eukaryotic small subunit ribosomal RNA", at positions 629 to 1135 of the family's 1831-position model. The record is from RNAcentral.